UACGUAGGGUGCAAGCGUUGUCCGGAAUUAUUGGGCGUAAAGAGCUCGUAGGCGGUUUGUCGCGUCGACUGUGAAAACCCGCGGCUCAACCCAGGAACUGCGUCCGAUACUGGCAGGCUUGAAUUCGGGAGAGGGAUGCGGAAUUCCAGGUGUAGCGGUGAAAUGCGUAGAUAUCUGGAGGAACACCGGUGGCGAAGGCGGCAUCCUGGACCGAUAUUGACGCUGAGGCGCGAAAGCCAGGGGAGCAAACGGG
Molecule: ribosomal RNA, 253 nt
Filed under: uncultured bacterium
Lineage: Bacteria
Description: partial 16S ribosomal RNA
Rfam family: Bacterial small subunit ribosomal RNA
Source: RNAcentral